UACGUAGGGUGCAAGCGUUAAUCGGAAUUACUGGGCGUAAAGCGUGCGCAGGCGGUUAUGCAAGACAGAUGUGAAAUCCCCGGGCUUAACCUGGGAACCGCAUUUGUGACUGCAUAGCUGGAGUACGGCAGAGGGGGAUGGAAUUCCGCGUGUAGCAGUGAAAUGCGUAGAUAUCGGGAGGAAUACCGAUGGCGAAGGCAGGUCUCUGGGCUAUAACUGACGCUCAUGCACGAAAGCGUGGGGAGCAAACAGG
Molecule: ribosomal RNA, 253 nt
Filed under: uncultured bacterium
Lineage: Bacteria
Description: partial 16S ribosomal RNA
Rfam family: Bacterial small subunit ribosomal RNA
Source: RNAcentral